This 1040-nucleotide long non-coding RNA is filed under the name Ursus maritimus (polar bear). Its description in RNAcentral is "lncRNA (ENSUMAG00000007679.1)". Lineage: Eukaryota; Metazoa; Chordata; Mammalia; Carnivora; Ursidae. The record is from RNAcentral.
CCCGGGUCGUGCAACUUCGGGGCCCCUAGAGGGAAGCGGCUCUCGCAGACAGCUGAAGAGGACGGUACCCCCAGCUGCUCCGCGGGUCCCCCGAUGGUCACUGUUUGCCUUGUUAGGUAAUUGGCAACAUCACCAGCCUAGGCAGCGUGGCUUUGACUGUGAAAAGGCAGAUGUGCUGUUUUCUUUUUUUAAAGAUUUUAUUUAUUUAUUUGACAGAGAUAGAGACAGCCAGCGAGAGAGGGAACACAAGCAGGGGGAGAGGAAGAAGCAGGCUUCCAGCAGAGGAGCCUGAUGUGGGGCUCGAUCCCAGAACGCCGGGAUCACGCCCAGAGCCGAAGGCAGACGCUUUAACGACUGAGCCACCCCGGCGCCCCAGAUGUGCUGUGUUCAAACCCAGGCCGUGGUGGGAGAGGCCAGGGUGGAGGAGAGGAGGUGCAGGGGGAAUCCGUUCUGGCAAACCCUGGCAGCAUUUAUGCGUGUUUCAUCUUCUCCAUCCGCCGCUGAGCUCCCUGCCUCUCCCACAGACUGGAUCCCAGGGGGGAUCCCGUCAAGGCUCAGAACACGCACACACCCCUCAGUUGCCCCGUUCCUCCCCCGCGGUGGGCCUGAGCCUCAGCCCCUGGUCUGGGCCCUCGGCAGCCGCCAGCUUCCACUCCACUCUGCAGGAAGGAUCUCUCUGACUUUGCUGGCUGAGGAAACCAGCCUCUUGCCUGCACGGUUCAGUGUCCUGGGGCGGGGGGAGGGAUGGAGCCAGACCUCGGAGCCUGGGAGGAGGCAGCUCCCACCUCCGCGCAUGCGUGUCCAAGCCCCCAGGACUUGGGGUGCCCCCGCCAGCAAGAGUGCACCCCGGCUGUGAGGGAGGCUUCAGCACGGCGAUGGGAUUAGUCAUGUUCUCGGGACAGACUCUUCCUUUUUAGGGGAGGUGGACCGAGUCCUGACUGCAACCCCAGGGCCAGAACCGCACGGCCCUGUGCGAAAACGGUGCGGUUUUGACACUUAUAGCAGAGCGAUAAAUAAAGCAUGUGUUUCAGGCUCUUUCA